Molecule: ribosomal RNA, 643 nt
Filed under: uncultured fungus
Lineage: Eukaryota; Fungi
Description: eukaryotic LSU rRNA
Rfam family: Eukaryotic large subunit ribosomal RNA
Source: RNAcentral
CCCGCUGAACUUAAGCAUAUCAAUAUAGCGGAGGAAAAGAAACUAACAAGGAUUCCCCUAGUAACUGCGAGUGAAGCGGGAAAAGCUCAAAUUUAAAAUCUGGCGGUCUCGCGGCCGUCCGAGUUGUAAUCUGGAGAAGCGUCUAUCCCCGCCGAACCGGGUCCAAGCCUCCGGGAAGGAAGCGCCGAAAAGGGUGAGAAUUCCCGCCUCUAACACGAACGACCAAUGCUCUUGUGAUGCGCUCUCGAAGAGUCGAGUUGUUUGGGAAUGCAGCUCAAAAUGGGUGGUAAAUUCCAUCUAAAGCUAAAUAUUGGCGAGAGACCGAUAGCGAACAAGUACCGUGAGGGAAAGAUGAAAAGCACUUUGGAAAGAGAGUUAAACAGUACGUGAAAUUGUUGAAAGGGAAACGUUUGAAGUCAGUCGCGUCGGCCGAGACUCAACCUCGCGCUCGCCCUCGGCGCACUUCUCGGUCGACGGGUCAGCAUCAAUUUCGACCGCCGGACAAAGGUUGUGGGAACGUGGCAUCCUUCGGGAUGUGUUAUAGCCCUCGAUUCACCUACCGAUAUUGGGAAUGACGACCUCGCCCCCUCGCGCGUCCAGGAUGCUGGCAUAAUGGCUUUAAGCGACCCGUCUUGAAACACGG